This is a long non-coding RNA of Dreissena polymorpha, 1063 nucleotides long. RefSeq lists it as uncharacterized. The record is from RefSeq and is a predicted model, not a curated record. NCBI's taxonomy places the organism in Eukaryota, Metazoa, Mollusca, Bivalvia, Myida, Dreissenidae. The transcript has 3 exons.
AUAAUAACGCAGCUAUAGUCCACGGAGGUCUCGAGCUAUCCAAUACAGGACAUGGUAUAACGCAGCUAUAGUCCACGGAGGUCUCGAGCUAUCCAAUACAGGACAUGGUAUAACGCAGCUAUAGUCCACGGAGGUCUCGAGCUAUCCAAUACAGGACAUGGUAUAACGCAGCUAUAGUCCACGGAGGUCUCGAGCUAUCCAAUACAGGACAUGGUAUAACGCAGCUAUAGUCCACGGAGGUCUCGAGCUAUCCAAUACAGGACAUGGUAUAACGCAGCUAUAGUCCACGGAGGUCUCGAGCUAUCCAAUACAGGACAUGGUAUAACGCAGCUAUAGUCCACGGAGGUCUCGAGCUAUCCAAUACAGGACAUGGUAUAACGCAGCUAUAGUCCACGGAGGUCUCGAGCUAUCCAAUACAGGACAUGGUAUAACGCAGCUAUAGUCCACGGAGGUCUCGAGCUAUCCAAUACAGGACAUGGUAUAACGCAGCUAUAGUCCACGGAGGUCUCGAGCUAUCCAAUACAGGACAUGGUAUAACGCAGCUAUAGUCCACGGAGGUCUCGAGCUAUCCAAUACAGGACAUGGUAUAACGCAGCUAUAGUCCACGGAGGUCUCGAGCUAUCCAAUACAGGACAUGGUAUAACGCAGCUAUAGUCCACGGAGGUCUCGAGCUAUCCAAUACAGGACAUGGUAUAACGCAGCUAUAGUCCACGGAGGUCUCGAGCUAUCCAAUACAGGACAUGGUAUAACGCAGCUAUAGUCCACGGAGGUCUCGAGCUAUCCAAUACAGGACAUGGUAUAACGCAGCUAUAGUCCACGGAGGUCUCGAGCUAUCCAAUACAGGACAUGGUAUAACGCAGCUAUAGUCCACGGAGGUCUCGAGCUAUCCAAUACAGGACAUGGUAUAACGCAGCUAUAGUCCACGGAGGUCUCGAGCUAUCCAAUACAGGACAUGGUAUAACGCAGCUAUAGUCCACGGAGGUCUCGAGCUAUCCAAUACAGGACAUGGUAAACAAAACGUUGCCUCGCCAUCGGAUUCAAUGAAGACUUUUGAAUAGUAAAG